CGCGUAGGUAAUCUAUCCUUACAUUUGGGAUAACAUCGGGAAACUGGUGCUAAUACCGAAUGGUCUUCAUUGCUUUGGGGCGAUGGAGUAAAGGUGGCCUCUUCAUGAAAGCUACCGUGUAGGGAUGAGCCUGCGUACCAUUAGCUAGUAGGUGGGGUAAUGGCCCACCUAGGCUACGAUGGUUAGCGGGUCUGAGAGGAUGAUCCGCCACACUGGAACUGAAACACGGACCAG
Molecule: ribosomal RNA, 234 nt
Filed under: uncultured bacterium
Lineage: Bacteria
Description: partial 16S ribosomal RNA
Rfam family: Bacterial small subunit ribosomal RNA
Source: RNAcentral